UACGGGGGGAGCAAGCGUUGUUCGGAUUUACUGGGCGUAAAGGGCGCGUAGGCGGCCACCGCAAGUCAAUUGUGAAAUCUCCGGGCUUAACUCGGAAAGGUCAACUGAUACUGCGGGGCUAGAGUGCGGAAGGGGCAACUGGAAUUCUCGGUGUAGCGGUGAAAUGCGUAGAUAUCAAGAGGAACACCUGAGGUGAAGACGGGUUGCUGGGCUGACACUGACGCUGAUGCGCGAAAGCCAGGGGAGCAAACGGG
This 254-nucleotide ribosomal RNA is filed under the name uncultured bacterium. Its description in RNAcentral is "partial 16S ribosomal RNA". It matches the Rfam family "Bacterial small subunit ribosomal RNA", at positions 524 to 776 of the family's 1533-position model. The record is from RNAcentral.